GAAGGUUCACUAGCACUAAGAGUAAACUGUGACGGCAGAGGAGAUUUGUUUCAUUCUCUUCGCUCUUUCAUUUCAUCGCAAAAUUAUGCGGGUUGUUGUUUUUCGGUGUCUUUCUGUCAUCAGUGUUGUUGUAUAUUUGGAGACAUCUAAACAUAAUGGGGGCGGCGGCAGUUUUGUCACGGCGGAAAAACCAGGUCAACAAGGUGGUGUGACGACAUACAAUAUUGCCGACAUUUAUGGGGAAGACCUGAUGAAGGAACUGGAGCCUGAAGGAUGGCAAGAAUACGGUGCUCGAAAGUGGGGUAAGAUGUCUGUUUAGCGAAUUCCUGUACAAAGAACCGUUAAUGCUCUGAAGUAUCAAACAUGGAUAUUAUGUUACACAUGAAGUAUAGAUGAUAUUUGAUAUGAGGAAUUGUGAAUAUGUUUUAUUUUUUCCGUUAUCAAUGAGAUGCGUUUUUUACUUUUAGGAUGUACUUGCUUGUUUGUCAUUUGCUCUGUCAUCGUUACUUUUGAAAAAUCAUAAUAC
RNAcentral lists this long non-coding RNA (526 nucleotides) under Bemisia tabaci. Its description in RNAcentral is "lncRNA ENSSSA2NGG014331". The record is from RNAcentral. Lineage: Eukaryota; Metazoa; Arthropoda; Insecta; Hemiptera; Aleyrodidae.